Molecule: microRNA precursor, 59 nt
Organism: Monodelphis domestica (gray short-tailed opossum)
Lineage: Eukaryota; Metazoa; Chordata; Mammalia; Didelphimorphia; Didelphidae
Source: Ensembl
UCAUCCAAACUGGGCACACUGUCCCAUAUAGCCAGGAUAUGCGUCCUCUUUGGAUAUUG